Long non-coding RNA from Panthera uncia (snow leopard), 1137 nucleotides. RefSeq lists it as uncharacterized. Lineage: Eukaryota; Metazoa; Chordata; Mammalia; Carnivora; Felidae. The record is from RefSeq and is a predicted model, not a curated record. The transcript has 6 exons.
UCCAGCCCCACCUCCUCACCACUAGGCUUGCCUUUCGUGUUGCCAUGGUAAUCCCUGUGGCUACCCUGGAUACCCAUUGCGGCUCCAGAAUUCUCUGCUUAGGCAGAGCAGCUCUACCCACAGCCUGCUUAGAACACCUCCCCUUUUACCAUCACUGAGGCCAAAGGUUGAGGAGCUAGGGUAUGAUCACCAACACAUGGUCUGCAAAGUCAGAUGCUACUUUUCCCUUAAGGCCAGUACAGGGUCCCAGAGAGCCUGGGGAGAAAGUGGAGAUGCUCUGAGCAUAGAGACAAGCAACAUUCUCUCAGUCCCCAAGCAGAGGUGAAGCUACGCCCUUUCAGUCAGCACCAAGAGCGAAAGUCAGAGCCCCUGUCCUGGGCCAGAGCACCAGCAUGUCAACAGUCUAGCCUGGGGACAGAAGGGAUGCAGGACUUUCCCAAGGCGGGGAGACACCUGACAAAAGGAAGAGUAAAAAGGAAGACAGAAGAGCCAGCUCAGCAAAAAGGUUCUGAAAGAGUGUCAGCUACUGGCAAAUCCAUACAGCUGACAAGAUGCAGGUCAACCUUCUGUCUCAGGACAACUGAUACCCCCUCUCCUGGGAACAGAAGACCCGGCCCACUUGACCACCCUUCCUCAAAUAGCACCACCCUCAACCGCACCCAAGCAAGACAGGCUGGCUCUCCAAACCCAGCCAGGGGACAGCCAUCCUAGUGUUCAGUCAGAAGAAGCCCAGGAGGAAAUAGCCCCAGGAGAUAUUAAAUACCGCCUGGAGCCCCUUCCCAAGGCUCCACUCCAGACGCAACCCCCAAGCUACUCCAACCAGCACAGCAAGCCUCAGUGGCUCCCCUUCAGUACAACCUAUGGAGAAUGUUAUAAGCCCGGGAGGAUACAGCCUGUGACUUACCAUGGGGAGAAACCCUCCCAUUCAGGUGACGACUAUAUGACCACUACUCAUCAGAUUUCCUUGCAGAGCCCUCUUCUUGGUCAGUCCACGUUCCCAGUUCAUAUUCAGGGCAGAAAAAUAGGACCAAUAGUGCGUCCAGGCCACAUGGAGUACACCAGCCAAUACCAGAGUGACUUCCAAGCCUCAGGGUGGAAUCAAGUCCUCAAAACUGACCCAGACAAAAGAAGCCAGGG